CUGGAUAUAGCAGAGGUCUACCGAUAGCUUUCGAAAUCUUGAAACAAAUAUAUGAUUUUAGGCACAUAAAUCUGCGAUUGCAAUGGGUUCCUUCUCAUAUAGGCCUAAGAGGAAACGAGGAGGCUGAUAAACUAGCGAAAUCGGCAAUAAAUGUUGGUAAAGAAUUGUCCAUUGUACCAUUUUUUACAGAAAUUUUAAAUAGUUUUAAAAAUAAAUGUUGUGAUAAAUUUAAGGAAUACUUUGAUAUAAGAAGUAGGGAAAAAGGAAUUUGGUAUAAAACUAUCCAAUGUCAGCCUCCUCGUUUCCCUUGGUUUGGUAAUACUUGUUUAAGUAGAAAAUAUAUAUCUAUUAUUGAUGUAUUUCUGCAUAGGCAGUAAUAUCUCUCCACUUGUAUCUGUUGCAUUCCACGAUGUUAUUUAGAAUGUAAUUUAGGUUACGAUGGGGCUGGCGUGUCCGUGUCGGACAAAAGUCCCAGAAAAAUAAAGAU
Maniola jurtina (meadow brown) is the source of this 487-nucleotide long non-coding RNA. RefSeq lists it as uncharacterized. NCBI's taxonomy places the organism in Eukaryota, Metazoa, Arthropoda, Insecta, Lepidoptera, Nymphalidae. The record is from RefSeq and is a predicted model, not a curated record. The transcript is spliced from 2 exons.